This 382-nucleotide unclassified non-coding RNA is filed under the name Hevea brasiliensis (rubber tree). The record is from RNAcentral. Lineage: Eukaryota; Viridiplantae; Streptophyta; Magnoliopsida; Malpighiales; Euphorbiaceae.
UGUAUCAAAGAUGAUUCCAGCAUCGGAUAAGGGUAGAUUCUUUGCCUUUGGCCGAGUUUUCUCUGGGAAGGUCUCUACUGGUAUGAAGGUCCGCAUCAUGGGGCCAAAUUAUGUCCCUGGCCAGAAGAAGGAUCUGUAUACGAAGAGUGUGCAGAGAACUGUUAUCUGGAUGGGUAAAAGGCAAGAGUCUGUAGAGGAUGUUCCUUGUGGGAAUACAGUCGCUAUGGUUGGUCUAGAUCAGUUUAUCACGAAAAAUGCCACUCUCACAAAUGAAAAGGAGGUGGAUGCACAUCCUAUCCGAGCAAUGAAGUUCUCAGUGUCUCCAGUUGUUCGUGUUGCCGUACAGUGCAAGGUGGCGUCUGACCUUCCCAAGCUUGUUGAA